This 328-nucleotide ribosomal RNA is filed under the name uncultured eukaryote. Its description in RNAcentral is "partial 18S ribosomal RNA". It matches the Rfam family "Eukaryotic small subunit ribosomal RNA", at positions 1470 to 1796 of the family's 1831-position model. The record is from RNAcentral.
CCCUUAGAUGUUCUGGGCUGCACGCGCGCUACACUGAAGCGUUCAACGAGUAUUCACCUUGCCCGGGAGGGUUGGGUAAUCUUUUGAAAACGCUUCGUGAUGGGGAUAGAUUAUUGCAAUUAUUAAUCUUCAACGAGGAAUUCCUAGUAAGCGCGAGUCAUCAGCUCGUGCUGAUUACGUCCCUGCCCUUUGUACACACCGCCCGUCGCUCCUACCGAUUGAAUGGUCCGGUGAAGCGCUCGGACCGCGGCCUCUUGACGGUUCGCUGUCGAUUGGCUGUGGGAAGUUCGUUAAACCUUAUCAUUUAGAGGAAGGAGAAGUCGUAACA